AGUGAACGCUGGCGGUAGGCCUAACACAUGCAAGUCGAACGGCAGCACAGUAAGAGCUUGCUCUUACGGGUGGCGAGUGGCGGACGGGUGAGGAAUACAUCGGAAUCUACUUUUUCGUGGGGGAUAACGUAGGGAAACUUACGCUAAUACCGCAUACGACCUACGGGUGAAAGCAGGGGAUCUUCGGACCUUGCGCGAUUGAAUGAGCCGAUGUCGGAUUAGCUGGUUGGCGGGGUAAAGGCCCACCAAGGCGACGAUCCGUAGCUGGUCUGAGAGGAUGAUCCGCCACCCUGGAACUGAGACACGGUCCAGACUCCUACGGGAGGCCGCAGUGGGGAAUAUUGGACAAUGGGCGCAAGCCUGAUCCAGCCAUACCGCGUGGGUGAAGAAGGCCUUCGGGUUGUAAAGCCCUUUUGUUGGGAAAGAAAAGCAGCAGGCUAAUACCCCGCUGUUCUGACGGUACCCAAAGAAUAAGCACCGGCUAACUUCGUG
This 492-nucleotide ribosomal RNA is filed under the name uncultured bacterium. RNAcentral's name for it is "partial 16S ribosomal RNA". It matches the Rfam family "Bacterial small subunit ribosomal RNA", at positions 29 to 507 of the family's 1533-position model. The record is from RNAcentral.